GGUAAUGGCUCACCAAGGCGACGACGGGUAGCCGGCCUGAGAGGGCGACCGGCCACACUGGGACUGAGACACGGCCCAGACUCCUACGGGAGGCACCAGUGGGGAAUAUUGGGCAAUGGAGGGAACUCUGACCCAGCGACGCCGCGUGCGGGAUGAAGGCCUUCGGGUUGUAAACCGCUUUCAGCAAGGAAGAAGCGAAAGUGACGGUACUUGCAGAAGAAGCACCGGCUAACUAUGUGCCAGCAGCCGCGGUAAUACAUAGGGUGCAAGCGUUGUCCGGAAUUAUUGGGCGUAAAGAGCUCGUAGGUGGUUCGUCACGUCGGAUGUGAAAGUCUGGGGCUUAACCCCAGACCUGCAUUCGAUACGGGCGAGCUAGAGUGUGGUAGGGGAGACUGGAAUUCCU
RNAcentral lists this ribosomal RNA (403 nucleotides) under uncultured Actinomycetes bacterium. RNAcentral's name for it is "bacterial SSU rRNA". It matches the Rfam family "Bacterial small subunit ribosomal RNA", at positions 256 to 671 of the family's 1533-position model. The record is from RNAcentral. Lineage: Bacteria; Bacillati; Actinomycetota; Actinomycetes.